GAAACAAGUAAAUUCCAAGUAUACAUAAUAAAAAAUGCAGCAUAUAGUUAAGUACACAAAAUGGAAAAAAGAGAACAGCCAAGUGCACCGUCCAUUCUGUGAAAAAAAUGUGUUUUGCUGUCACCGUAUAGAGAUGGGUUUACCUGGACAGAAUAAUAGACAGAGAAUUUAGCAUCAUUCUAUAAAUUCAUUACAUUUGCACAGGCGACUUGAAACCUACCAUCCAUCCAGCGACCACAGAAUUAAAUUCAGGAUUGUUAUCAUUUGCUACCGAUAUUUUUUAUGCGCUUAGCUGGUCCUUUCUAUUCAAAUCUGGGAAGCUAUACACAUCAAAUGUCUCCAUAGCACCAGUAAGAACAGAUUUUAUAUCUGUGUUUGAAUAAUAUUGAGCAACCUGUCGAAAUAACAUAAGUGCAAUAGUAAAUAAAAUAGUUCUAGAGUGAUUGCUUAUUAUACAUGUACAAGAAACUGGCACCGCAGUUUAAUGGGAUUUAUUAGAGCAAUAUUUGGAAUCUGUACUUGCAAAUAGAAUUAAGUUAUAAAAUCAUCGUGAAGUCGCCAAGACAUGUUAGGCUCAUGCAUUGGCAGAUCGUCAUACACAACACCCGGGCAUUUCUUGAUACCCCACUCGAUUUUUGCAGCCUUUGUAUUGUGAUUAAAUGGAUACACAUGUUUCUUUCUCCUCCCAACGAUGACUUCUUUUUCCUUGAGCUCACUCCUCACCCCUACCGAGGCAACCCCCUCUCCAUGCCACUUCCAUCAUUAUUGCCACCCUGCCCAACCAUCGUCCUCCAUUGCACUAGCC
RNAcentral lists this long non-coding RNA (805 nucleotides) under Setaria viridis. RNAcentral describes it as "long non-coding RNA (SVIR_LNC003936)". The record is from RNAcentral. Lineage: Eukaryota; Viridiplantae; Streptophyta; Magnoliopsida; Poales; Poaceae.